Molecule: ribosomal RNA, 489 nt
Filed under: Dorylaimopsis sp.
Lineage: Eukaryota; Metazoa; Nematoda; Chromadorea; Araeolaimida; Comesomatidae
Description: SSU rRNA
Rfam family: Eukaryotic small subunit ribosomal RNA
Source: RNAcentral
GAGACAGUCCUCUAUGAGGGCUGUCAUCGGAAUGGGUACAAUUUAAACCCUUUAACGAGGAUCUAUUGGAGGGCAAGUCUGGUGCCAGCAGCCGCGGUAAUUCCAGCUCCAAUAGCGUAUACAAAUACUGUUGCGGUUAAAAAGCUCGUAGUUGGAUCUGCGUUCGCAGUGUCUGGUUCCCUACUCGGGAUACUAGUUCACUCGAACUACCUUGUUAGACGUCUCUUGGUGCUCUUCACUGAGUGCCUUGAGUGUCUAGCUCGUUUACUUUGAAAAAAUUAGAGUGCUUAAAGCAGGCUUUUGCCUGAAUAGUUGCGCAUGGAAUAAUGGAAUAGGACCUCGGUUCUAUUUUGUUGGUUUUCGGAGCAUGAGGUAAUGAUUAAGAGGGACAGACGGGGGCAUUCGUACUGCUACGUUAGAGGUGAAAUUCUUGGAUCGUAGCAUGACGAACAACUGCGAAAGCAUUUGCCAAGAAUGUUUUCAUUAAUC